CCAAUAGCGUAUAUUAAAGUUGUUGCAGUUAAAAAGCUCGUAGUUGAAUUUCGGGACCAUCAUGUCGGUCGUGCCUCGGUACGUACUGGCAUUGUUGGUUUCUCCCUUCUGACGAACCAUGAUGUCAUUUAUUUGGUGUUGUGGGAAAUCAGGACUGUUACUUUGAAAAAAUUAGAGUGUUUAAAGCAGGCUCACGCUUGAAUACAUUAGCAUGGAAUAAUGAAAUAGGACGUUUGAUUCUAUUUUGUUGGUUUCUAGGAUCGACGUAAUGAUUAAUAGGGAUAGUUGGGGGCAUUAGUAUUCAAUUGUCAGAGGUGAAAUUCUUGGAUUUAUUGCAGACUAACUACUGCGAAAGCAUUUGCCAAGGAUGUUUUCAUUAAUCAAGAACGAAAGUUAGGGGAUCGAAGACGAUCAGAUACCGUCGUAGUCCUAACCAUAAACUAUGCCGACUAGGGAUCGGAUGAUGUUAAUUUUUUAAUGACUCAUUCGGCGCCUUACG
RNAcentral lists this ribosomal RNA (499 nucleotides) under uncultured Glomeromycotina. RNAcentral's name for it is "partial small subunit ribosomal RNA". It matches the Rfam family "Eukaryotic small subunit ribosomal RNA", at positions 591 to 1092 of the family's 1831-position model. Lineage: Eukaryota; Fungi; Glomeromycota. The record is from RNAcentral.